Molecule: ribosomal RNA, 475 nt
Filed under: uncultured actinomycete
Lineage: Bacteria; Bacillati; Actinomycetota; Actinomycetes; Actinomycetales
Description: bacterial SSU rRNA
Rfam family: Bacterial small subunit ribosomal RNA
Source: RNAcentral
CUUGUUGGUGGGGUGAUGGCCUACCAAGGCGACGACGGGUAGCCGGCCUGAGAGGGCGACCGGCCACACUGGGACUGAGACACGGCCCAGACUCCUACGGGAGGCAGCAGUGGGGAAUAUUGCACAAUGGGCGGAAGCCUGAUGCAGCGACGCCGCGUGAGGGACGACGGCCUUCGGGUUGUAAACCUCUUUCAGCUCCGACGAAGCGUAAGUGACGGCAGGAGCAGAAGAAGCGCCGGCCAACUACGUGCCAGCAGCCGCGGUAAGACGUAGGGCGCAAGCGUUGUCCGGAUUUAUUGGGCGUAAAGAGCUCGUAGGCGGCGUGUCGCGUCGACUGUGAAAACCCGCAGCUCAACUGCGGGCCUGCAGCCGAUACGGGCAGGCUAGAGUUCGGUAGGGGAGACUGGAAUUCCUGGUGUAGCGGUGAAAUGCGCAGAUAUCAGGAGGAACACCGGUGGCGAAGGCGGGUCUCUGG